GACGAACGCUGGCGGCAUGCCUAAUACAUGCAAGUCGAGCGAACAGAUGAAGUGCUUGCACUUCUGACGUUAGCGGCGAACGGGUGAGUAACACGUAAGGAAUCUACCUAUAAGCGGGGGAUAACAUUCGGAAACGGGUGCUAAUACCGCAUAAUAUCUUCUUCCGCAUGGAAGAAGAUUGAAAGACGGCUCUGCUGUCACUUAUAGAUGACCUUGCGGUGCAUUAGUUAGUUGGUGGGGUAACGGCCUACCAAGACGAUGAUGCAUAGCCGACCUGAGAGGGUGAUCGGCCACAUUGGGACUGAGACACGGCCCAAACUCCUACGGGACGCAGCAGUAGGGAAUCUUCCGCAAUGGGCGAAAGCCUGACGGAGCAAUGCCGCGUGAGUGAAGAAGGCCUUCGGGUCGUAAAACUCUGUUAUAAGAGAAGAACAAAUUGUAGAGUAACUGCUACAGUCUUGACGGUAUCUAACCAGAAAGCCACGGCUAACUACGUGCCAGCCGCCGCCGUAA
This 513-nucleotide ribosomal RNA is filed under the name uncultured bacterium. RNAcentral describes it as "partial 16S ribosomal RNA". It matches the Rfam family "Bacterial small subunit ribosomal RNA", at positions 28 to 523 of the family's 1533-position model. The record is from RNAcentral.